Molecule: ribosomal RNA, 2897 nt
Filed under: Neisseria gonorrhoeae
Lineage: Bacteria; Pseudomonadati; Pseudomonadota; Betaproteobacteria; Neisseriales; Neisseriaceae
Description: bacterial LSU rRNA
Rfam family: Bacterial large subunit ribosomal RNA
Source: RNAcentral
AUAGGGUCAAGUGAAUAAGUGCAUCAGGCGGAUGCCUUGGCGAUGAUAGGCGACGAAGGACGUGUAAGCCUGCGAAAAGCGCGGGGGAGCUGGCAAUAAAGCUAUGAUUCCGCGAUGUCCGAAUGGGGAAACCCACUGCAUUCUGUGCAGUAUCCUAAGUUGAAUACAUAGGCUUAGAGAAGCGAACCCGGAGAACUGAACCAUCUAAGUACCCGGAGGAAAAGAAAUCAACCGAGAUUCCGCAAGUAGUGGCGAGCGAACGCGGAGGAGCCUGUACGUAAUAACUGUCGAGAUAGAAGAACAAGCUGGGAAGCUUGACCAUAGCGGGUGACAGUCCCGUAUUCGAAAUCUCAACAGCGGUACUAAGCGUACGAAAAGUAGGGCGGGACACGUGAAAUCCUGUCUGAAUAUGGGGGACCAUCCUCCAAGGCUAAAUACUCAUCAUCGACCGAUAGUGAACCAGUACCGUGAGGGAAAGGCGAAAAGAACCCCGGGAGGGGAGUGAAACAGAACCUGAAACCUGAUGCAUACAAACAGUGGGAGCGCCCUAGUGGUGUGACUGCGUACCUUUUGUAUAAUGGGUCAACGACUUACAUUCAGUAGCGAGCUUAACCGGAUAGGGGAGGCGUAGGGAAACCGAGUCUUAAUAGGGCGAUGAGUUGCUGGGUGUAGACCCGAAACCGAGUGAUCUAUCCAUGGCCAGGUUGAAGGUGCCGUAACAGGUACUGGAGGACCGAACCCACGCAUGUUGCAAAAUGCGGGGAUGAGCUGUGGGUAGGGGUGAAAGGCUAAACAAACUCGGAGAUAGCUGGUUCUCCCCGAAAACUAUUUAGGUAGUGCCUCGAGCAAGACACUGAUGGGGGUAAAGCACUGUUAUGGCUAGGGGGUUAUUGCAACUUACCAACCCAUGGCAAACUCAGAAUACCAUCAAGUGGUUCCUCGGGAGACAGACAGCGGGUGCUAACGUCCGUUGUCAAGAGGGAAACAACCCAGACCGCCGGCUAAGGUCCCAAAUGAUAGAUUAAGUGGUAAACGAAGUGGGAAGGCACAGACAGCCAGGAUGUUGGCUUAGAAGCAGCCAUCAUUUAAAGAAAGCGUAAUAGCUCACUGGUCGAGUCGUCCUGCGCGGAAGAUGUAACGGGGCUCAAAUCUAUAACCGAAGCUGCGGAUGCCGGUUUACCGGCAUGGUAGGGGAGCGUUCUGUAGGCUGAUGAAGGUGCAUUGUAAAGUGUGCUGGAGGUAUCAGAAGUGCGAAUGUUGACAUGAGUAGCGAUAAAGCGGGUGAAAAGCCCGCUCGCCGAAAGCCCAAGGUUUCCUACGCAACGUUCAUCGGCGUAGGGUGAGUCGGCCUCUAAGGCGAGGCAGAAAUGCGUAGUCGAUGGGAAACAGGUUAAUAUUCCUGUACUUGAUUCAAAUGCGAUGUGGGGACGGAGAAGGUUAGGUUGGCAAGCUGUUGGAAUAGCUUGUUUAAGCCGGUAGGUGGAAGACUUAGGCAAAUCCGGGUUUUCUUAACACCGAGAAGUGAUGACGAGUGUCUACGGACACGAAGCAACCGAUACCACGCUUCCAGGAAAAGCCACUAAGCUUCAGUUUGAAUCGAACCGUACCGCAAACCGACACAGGUGGGCAGGAUGAGAAUUCUAAGGCGCUUGAGAGAACUCGGGAGAAGGAACUCGGCAAAUUGAUACCGUAACUUCGGGAGAAGGUAUGCCCUCUAAGGUUAAGGACUUGCUCCGUAAGCCCCGGAGGGUCGCAGAGAAUAGGUGGCUGCGACUGUUUAUUAAAAACACAGCACUCUGCCAACACGAAAGUGGACGUAUAGGGUGUGACGCCUGCCCGGUGCCGGAAGGUUAAUUGAAGAUGUGCAAGCAUCGGAUCGAAGCCCCGGUAAACGGCGGCCGUAACUAUAACGGUCCUAAGGUAGCGAAAUUCCUUGUCGGGUAAGUUCCGACCCGCACGAAUGGCGUAACGAUGGCCACACUGUCUCCUCCCGAGACUCAGCGAAGUUGAAGUGGUUGUGAAGAUGCAAUCUACCCGCUGCUAGACGGAAAGACCCCGUGAACCUUUACUGUAGCUUUGCAUUGGACUUUGAAGUCACUUGUGUAGGAUAGGUGGGAGGCUUGGAAGCAGAGACGCCAGUCUCUGUGGAGUCGUCCUUGAAAUACCACCCUGGUGUCUUUGAGGUUCUAACCCAGACCCGUCAUCCGGGUCGGGGACCGUGCAUGGUAGGCAGUUUGACUGGGGCGGUCUCCUCCCAAAGCGUAACGGAGGAGUUCGAAGGUUACCUAGGUCCGGUCGGAAAUCGGACUGAUAGUGCAAUGGCAAAAGGUAGCUUAACUGCGAGACCGACAAGUCGGGCAGGUGCGAAAGCAGGACAUAGUGAUCCGGUGGUUCUGUAUGGAAGGGCCAUCGCUCAACGGAUAAAAGGUACUCCGGGGAUAACAGGCUGAUUCCGCCCAAGAGUUCAUAUCGACGGCGGAGUUUGGCACCUCGAUGUCGGCUCAUCACAUCCUGGGGCUGUAGUCGGUCCCAAGGGUAUGGCUGUUCGCCAUUUAAAGUGGUACGUGAGCUGGGUUUAAAACGUCGUGAGACAGUUUGGUCCCUAUCUGCAGUGGGCGUUGGAAGUUUGACGGGGGCUGCUCCUAGUACGAGAGGACCGGAGUGGACGAACCUCUGGUGUACCGGUUGUAACGCCAGUUGCAUAGCCGGGUAGCUAAGUUCGGAAGAGAUAAGCGCUGAAAGCAUCUAAGCGCGAAACUCGCCUGAAGAUGAGACUUCCCUUGCGGUUUAACCGCACUAAAGGGUCGUUCGAGACCAGGACGUUGAUAGGUGGGGUGUGGAAGCGCGGUAACGCGUGAAGCUAACCCAUACUAAUUGCCCGUGAGGCUUGACUCUAU